This 497-nucleotide ribosomal RNA is filed under the name uncultured bacterium. RNAcentral's name for it is "partial 16S ribosomal RNA". It matches the Rfam family "Bacterial small subunit ribosomal RNA", at positions 28 to 507 of the family's 1533-position model. The record is from RNAcentral.
GAUGAACGCUGGCGGCGUGCCUAAUACAUGCAAGUCGAGCGAACAGACGAGGAGCUUGCUCCUCUGACGUUAUCGGCGGACGGGUGAGUAACACGUGGAUAACCUACCUAUAAGACUGGGAUAACUUCGGGAAACCGGAGCUAAUACCGGAUAAUAUAUUGAACCGCAUGGUUCAAUAGUGAAAGAAGGUUUUUCGGUCACUUAUAGAUGGAUCCGCGCCGCAUUAGUUAGUUGGUAAGGUAACGGGUUAGCAAGGCGACGAUGCGUAGCCGACCUGAGAGGGUGAUCGGCCACCCUGGAAGUGAGACACGGUCCAGACUCCUACGGGAGGCAGCAGUAGGGAAUCUUCCGGAAUGGGCGAAAGCCUGACGGAGCAACGCCGCGUGAGUGAUGAAGGUCUUCGGAUCGUAAAACUCUGUUAUUAGGGAAGAACAAAUGUGUAAGUAACUAUGCACGUAUUGACGGUACCUAAUCAGAAAGCCACGGCUAACUACGUG